Molecule: ribosomal RNA, 493 nt
Filed under: uncultured bacterium
Lineage: Bacteria
Description: bacterial SSU rRNA
Rfam family: Bacterial small subunit ribosomal RNA
Source: RNAcentral
AGGACGAACGCUGGCGGCGUGCCUAAUACAUGCAAGUCGAACGAACUGUGGAAAGCUUGCUUUCAGGGUUAGUGGCGAACGGGUGAGUAACACGUAAGUAACCUAGCUAUUAGACGAGGAUAACUACUGGAAACGGUAGCUAAGACUGGAUAUGAUAGAAAUAUUUAAAGGAUGCUAAGGCAUCGCUAAUAGAGGGGCUUGCGGCGCAUUAGCUAGUUGGUAGGGUAAAAGCCAACCAAGGCGAUGAUGCGUAGCCGACCUGAGAGGGUGACCGGCCACACUGGGACUGAGACACGGCCCAGACUCCUACGGGAGGCAGCAGUAGGGAAUCUUCGGCAAUGGACGAAAGUCUGACCGAGCAACGCCGCGUGAGUGAAGAAAGUUUUCGGAUUGUAAAGCUCUGUUAUUAGGGAAGAAAGGCUCUAGGAGGAAAUGCUUAGGGAUUGACGGUACCUAAUGAGGAAGCCACGGCUAACUACGUGCCAGCAGCGGC